AUUGAACGCUGGCGGCAUGCUUUACACAUGCAAGUCGAACGGUAACAGGCCUUCGGGUGCUGACGAGUGGCGAACGGGUGAGUAAUGCAUCGGAACGUGCCCAGAGGUGGGGGAUAACGCAGCGAAAGCUGUGCUAAUACCGCAUGUGAUCUGAGGAUGAAAGCGGGGGACCAGGCAGCAAUGUUUGGCCUCGCGCCUUUGUAGCGGCCGAUGUCAGAUUAGGUAGUUGGUGGGGUAAAGUCCUACCAAGCCGACGAUCUGUAGCUGGUCUGAGAGGAAGACCAGCCACACUGGGACUGAGACACGGCCCAGACUCCUAGGGGAGGCAGCAGUGGGGAAUUUUGGACAAUGGGCGAAAGCCUGAUCCAGCAAUGCCGCGUGCGGGAAGAAGGCCUUCGGGUUGUAAACCGCUUUUGUACGGAACGAAAAGGCUCUGGCUAAUACCUGGGGCUGAUGACGGUACCGUAAGAAUAAGCACCGGCUAACUACGUG
RNAcentral lists this ribosomal RNA (492 nucleotides) under uncultured bacterium. Its description in RNAcentral is "partial 16S ribosomal RNA". It matches the Rfam family "Bacterial small subunit ribosomal RNA", at positions 30 to 507 of the family's 1533-position model. The record is from RNAcentral.